GCAAGAGCUGACAGCGCGGAAAUCGAUAUUCAUUCUUCUCGUUAAUCGUCGACGCUGUGCCGCCGCGGCAAGUGAGAAAGUCGGGAGAGCCAGGUGGGACCGGAAGUGUUCCAAAAUGACUGCCGAAGCCUCGACAAAAUAGACAAAAAUGGAUCGAGAAGAGACUGCUAUUUCAUGUAGAAAACUUUUGGGAAAACUUUUACGAAGUUUUUGAAGCGAGAAAGAGCUUCGAGUCAGGAUGGACUCUCGACUCGAAUGCUAUUUUUUCCGAACGGAGCAACGGUCAUAAUGUUAUCGAAUGUGGUUACGCGCGCAACUUCUUCGUCAGCUAAUUUCAACUUGCCAAUUCAUCAGUGUUCACGAAUUGUUUUGAAUCUUAUUCCAAUUCGAUUUUUACGCAGCUGCACGCCUAAACAACGCUGUAAAAAAUUUACGAAUGAAAAUUUCGGGCGAGAGAAAACUCGAAGAAAGUUGUUUGUUUCAUUGUUUAAAUACUAUGAAGAGAACGAUCAAACAAAACGUUCACAAAAAUUAAGGACGUAGGAUUUUCAUCAUUUUUCAGAGUUGAACAAAAUGGUGGAAAUAUUUUGUCGAGAAUACGAUGCGAACGCGCGUCAUAUUUUUACGAAUUUGAAUAUUUCGAACAUUUUGACAUCUGCAUGUUCCAACUUACGUUCUUUUUUCUUUAUUAAAAAUAUCGUAUUUUAUUUUUCUUUUUCCUUGUCACUCGCGUUUUAAUUGUACAUUGCCCUCUGAUUCAAUUUAUUUUCGAUUUGCGACACGUCUUCACGGAGGUGCUAUUCUCGAUUCGCAAACAGAGUUGAACAAAAUGGUAGAAAUAUUUAAAUCAGGUAGAGUUGACAACAGGAUACGAAUACAUAUCAAAUUUUUACGAAUUUGAAUAUUUCAGACAUUUUGACAUUUGCAUGUUCCAACUUACGUUCUUUUUUCUUUAUUAAA
Molecule: long non-coding RNA, 960 nt
Organism: Frieseomelitta varia
Lineage: Eukaryota; Metazoa; Arthropoda; Insecta; Hymenoptera; Apidae
Exons: 2
Source: RefSeq, a predicted model, not a curated record